CGGUGGUUCGCAACGAACUCUGUACGGCAGGAGCGGGGGACCCACAGGUAAGUCGCCGGACCCGAAUUGACGGUCCGGCUUGGGGUGAAGCCGCAUUUCUCUGCGGCCGGGCAACUCCAGCCCGAACCCGACAGCUCACCUCGCAGGCGUCGGAGAGGACAGCU
This 164-nucleotide small RNA is filed under the name Streptomyces sp. RNAcentral describes it as "c-di-AMP sequence". It matches the Rfam family "c-di-AMP riboswitch aptamer (ydaO/yuaA leader)". Rfam says of the family: This family represents a conserved RNA structure found upstream of the ydaO and yuaA genes in Bacillus subtilis and related genes in other bacteria. The ydaO/yuaA element is thought to act as a genetic "off" switch for the ydaO and yuaA genes in its native state. The record is from RNAcentral. Lineage: Bacteria; Bacillati; Actinomycetota; Actinomycetes; Kitasatosporales; Streptomycetaceae.